AGCGUCUUAGGUUGGAUUUCCUAGGAACAGAACCUGUGACAGGAAUUCAGGUGGAGCUGUUUUAGGCUGGGUGCUGUGGCCCAGGCCUGGAAUCCCAGCACUUCAGAAGGCCAAGGCAGGAGAAUCGCUUGAGCCCAGGAGUUCAAGAGCAGCCUGGGCAACAUGUUGAAACAUCAUCUCUAUACAAAUAUACGCACAAAAAUUAGCUGGACAUGGUGGUGUGCACCUGUAGUCCUAACUACUCAGGAAGCUGUGGUGGAAGAAUCACUUGAGCCCAGGAGGUCGAGGCUGCAAUAAGCUGUGAUUGCACCACUGCACUCCAGCAUGGAUGACAGAGCAAGACACCCUGUCUCAAAAAAAAGACUGUACAACAGAGCUCUGAAAAAGAUCACACUUUCAGGCUCAAGGAGCUCUCUUGUUCCUUCCACCAUCUGAGAACACAGUGAGAAGUCCCCAGGCUUCAACCUGAAAAAGGGCCCUCAUCAGAACCUGAUCAUCAGAACUUGGCACCCCAAUCUUUGUCUUCUGAUCUACAUUGUGACCUAAGUCAG
Pan troglodytes (chimpanzee) is the source of this 551-nucleotide long non-coding RNA. RefSeq lists it as uncharacterized. NCBI's taxonomy places the organism in Eukaryota, Metazoa, Chordata, Mammalia, Primates, Hominidae. The transcript is spliced from 3 exons. The record is from RefSeq and is a predicted model, not a curated record.